RNAcentral lists this ribosomal RNA (389 nucleotides) under Syndiniales sp. RNAcentral describes it as "partial small subunit ribosomal RNA". It matches the Rfam family "Eukaryotic small subunit ribosomal RNA", at positions 582 to 975 of the family's 1831-position model. The record is from RNAcentral. Lineage: Eukaryota; Dinophyceae; Syndiniales.
AUUCCAGCUCCAAUAGCGUAUAUUAAAGUUGUUGCGGUUAAAAAGCUCGUAGUUGGAGUUCUGCCAGGUGCCGCCUGUCCGCCCCAGUGGUGAGUACGUGGCGCGCAUUUGGCCCUUUCAAGGGGAGCGUAUCUGCACUUUAUUGUGUGGUGCGGGAUCCUUGACUUUUACUUUGAGGAAAUAGGAGUGUUCCAAGCAGGCUCUCGUCGUGCACAGCUCAGCAUGGAAUAAUAGCAUUGGACCUCGAUUCUAAGCUGUUGGUUGCCAGAAGCGAGGUAAUGAUUAAUAGGGAUAGUUGGGGGCAUUAGUAUUUAUUAGCUAGAGGUGGAAUUCUCUAAUUUGAUAAAGACUAACUUAUGCGAAAGCAUUUGCCAGGGAUGUUUUCAUUA